GUAGCCGCCGCCGCCCGGGCCCGGGCAGUCCUCCUGGGGGCCGCCGCCCGCGCGCAGCUCCAGCUCCAGCUCCUCCUGAGGCCGCUCCUGCUGCAGUUGCCGGCGGAACUCCUCCAGCAGCUGCUCCACGCCCGACAGCUGCGCGUGCAGUUCGGACAGCGGCGCCGCGGGCGGCAAGGCCGCACGGCCGCUCGGCAGCCACAGGCAGAGCAGUAGCAGCCCGCGCAGCGCCCCGUGACGCGGCGGUAGCCGGCGCUGCGAGCCCGCGCUCUCCCGGGCGACGGAGGCCAUGGCGACGAGAGCCAAGGAUGAACCGUUGUCCACAUUCUCUUCUCUGAGUCAAAGAGGAGGAAGAUCUGUCCAUCGAAACUGAACUGCCAAGAUCCGCUGCUGUGUCCUUCGGCUUUCUGCUCACAAGACAUCCUUGCCUGCAGGGUGAGGGGUUCUGCCCCCAUCAGAGAGAGAUCAGCUCUGGCCUUGACAGAUAUUGAGCCCCCAUCCUCUUCCACUUGCAAUUUCCUGGUCUUACUUGCUCUGCCACAUCCUGGCCUUGCCUCUAGACGUCUUGCGGGGUUGCCAUUGCCUGCUGUUGCUCUACAAAGGGACAGGACUGGACACUGAGACGGAGAACCCACGGCCUGCAAAGAUCACAGGGCA
Molecule: long non-coding RNA, 657 nt
Filed under: Pan troglodytes (chimpanzee)
Lineage: Eukaryota; Metazoa; Chordata; Mammalia; Primates; Hominidae
Description: long non-coding RNA NONPTRT014850
Source: RNAcentral